Molecule: long non-coding RNA, 451 nt
Filed under: Phasianus colchicus (ring-necked pheasant)
Lineage: Eukaryota; Metazoa; Chordata; Aves; Galliformes; Phasianidae
Description: lncRNA (ENSPCLG00000002207.1)
Source: RNAcentral
GGGCAUGAUGGUCUAUUAAUCAAAAGCAAAAUACUAAGCAGUGACUGAAGGAAGCCAAAGGUAGAAACAAAGAAAACUCCCUCGUGCUAAUUCCACAGUUCCUCUUCAAGUAUGCCUGAACUUCAGGAGGCAGCAUAAAUCAUCUGAUGUAUUGCUGUGCUUCUGUGAGGGGCUCCAUUGCCACCUGUGGCAGUUGUCCUGUGAAACAGAAGCUUUGCCUGCUGUUGUAUCACCUAUGCUGGAACUUCCUCGUGGAUCUGUUUUCUCCUUUGAUGUCUCCAACUCAGUCACCAGAUGGACGAGGGGCACUGCCAGCUGCCUGGGAAGGCUGUCACUGCUGAGGUUGGCACCCCAUGAGCUGCACAGGUAACCCAUCACAUUUAUACUUCUUGUUUCAAAUUGAAAGAAUUUGCUUUAAAUUGGAGGCUCAAGAAUGAUCCUCUUUGCUUCC